CGGCACGCCUAAACAUGCAAGUCGAACGAAGUAGCAAUACUUAGUGGCAGACGGGUGAGUAACAUGUAGGUAUCUUCCCUUUGGCCUGGAAUAACACGAGGAAACUUGUGCUAAUACUGGAUAAGUCUUUACAGAGAAAGCUUUAUGCACCAUUGGAUGAGCCUGCACUUGAUUAGUUUGUUGGUAGGGUAAUGGCCUACCAAGACUGUGAUCAAUAGCUGAUUUGAGAGGAUGAUCAGCCACAUUGGGACUGAGACACGGCCCAAACUCCUACGGGAGGCAGCAGUGGGGAAUCUUGCACAAUGGAGGAAACUCUGAUGCAGCGAUGCCGCGUGAGUGAAGAAGGCCUUUGGGUUGUAAAGCUCUUUCGUCGGGGAAGAAAAUGACUGUACCCGAAUAAGAAGGUCCGGC
RNAcentral lists this ribosomal RNA (411 nucleotides) under uncultured bacterium. RNAcentral describes it as "bacterial SSU rRNA". It matches the Rfam family "Bacterial small subunit ribosomal RNA", at positions 40 to 497 of the family's 1533-position model. The record is from RNAcentral.